Molecule: ribosomal RNA, 370 nt
Filed under: uncultured eukaryote
Lineage: Eukaryota
Description: partial 18S ribosomal RNA
Rfam family: Eukaryotic small subunit ribosomal RNA
Source: RNAcentral
CAAUAGCGUAUGUUAAAGUUGUUGCAGUUAAAAAGCUCGUAGUUGGACCUUGGACCUGGACAGGCGGUCCGCCUCACGGCGUGUACUGUCUUGCUGGGUCUUUCCUCUUGGUGAUCUGUUGUUUCGGCAGCAGGGAACCAGGACUUUUACUUUGAAAAAAUUAGAGUGUUCAAAGCAGGCUCGACGCCGGAAUAUAUUAGCAUGGAAUAAUAAAAUAGGACGUGCGGUUCUAUUUUGUUGGUUUUUGGAAUCGCCGUAAUGAUUAAUAGGGACAGUCGGGGGCAUUAGUACUCACAUGCUAGAGGUGAAAUUCUUGGAUUUUGUGAAGACUAACUUCUGCGAAAGCAUUUGCCAAGGAUGUUUUCAUUAA